Molecule: long non-coding RNA, 4420 nt
Organism: Mustela putorius furo (domestic ferret)
Lineage: Eukaryota; Metazoa; Chordata; Mammalia; Carnivora; Mustelidae
Source: Ensembl
AUGAGUCUGUGUUUGCCAUCAAAGUUGUAUUUGCCUUCUGCCCAUUUACUUUGUGAACUGUGCACACAAGAAACCAAAUGUGUCCCUGGAAGAGGGAGAAGAAGGAGUCAAUGGGAAAGUAUUAAAAUGACAAUGUAUUGUGCCAGACACAGUCCCUCACAACAAACCUUCCUACCUAACCACACAUGCCUUCUUGGAGCAUGGGAAUGGGUGCUGAUUGAUCAUACAUGAUUGCCUAGUUGGAAUGGCACCACCUAGUUGGACCGGCACCUACUCAGUUAAGUUUUCCUUAGCUUUGCCCUUUGCAGAACUGGAAGCUCAUUUAUGGAUGUAGUUUACCAUGAACUCUCAAAAAAGGAGGGAAAGUUCUUUCCUUAACAUACAACAGAUAAUUUAGAAUCCAAACCCAUCAUUUUCCCUACUAAUCAGAGGCUGGACACAGUAUCUCUUUGAACUUUUUACUCUUCCACAGAGUUUAGUCUUCUGUAAUGCAUAGUCUACUUUCAGGUAACUAUAUUACAGAUGAUUAAUGGACAUCUAUUCCUGGUGAAAUAACGUUUCCCACAGCUUCAUUAAUGGUAAAGAUAAGACCAGUUGUAUCCUUUAUUAAGCUAAAAAUAUGUCAAGGCUAUCACACUUUAUUCAUCAUUUGCAUAGCCUAUUGAUAGUUCACAACUAAAGAAUCAUGCACAAAGAUAGUAACAUCAUGAUUCAGUGCUAAUUAACUGCUUUUGCUGGAAAUCUUCUUGUUAAUAUUAUCAUGGCAUGCUUGAACAUUUUGAUUUUGAUUUUAUAAGUUUUGUUUCAUAUAGUUUCAAUUAAUCCAUUAUUUUUGCUUAUUAUUGGUACUAGAUAAACAAAGAUGAGUCUUUAGCAUCUUACAAUGCAAAUAUGUCUUUAAGUACAGUAUAAAAUUAGUAUCAGUCUAAACAUAUACAUGAAAUCAUUCAGAUUAAUCAUUAUUACUUAAAAUUAGCUACAUAUUUUUAUACAAGUAAGAAAUCCAAAUUAGAAUCUACCCUGUGUUGGGAACAUUAUUUCUUUUAAAAAUGCUUAGUUUAUGUACCCAGACUUAGCACCAAUAUAGUAAAUAUGGUGUUUAGUUCACCUACCUAAUCAAAUAGUUGACACAUUUUUCCUUUUGAAAUUAAAGGCAUUAUUUUUUUUUAAGUUGAUGUUUUAAACAGUCUAUGAUUUGUCUGAUCUUAGAAGCUAGGCAGGAUCAGGCAUGGUUAGUACUUGGAUGGAAGACUGCCUGGGAAUACCUGUUGUUACAGUCUUUGAGGCUCCUGGGUGGCUCAGUUGGCGUUGAGCCUCUGGGCUGGGGUCAUGAUCCUGGAGUCCUGGGAUCAAGCCUGUUUUUCCUUCUCCCCACUGGUUGAGCUGUCUCUCACUAUCUCUCACUAUCUCAAGUAAAUCAGUAAAAUCUUAGAAAAGAAAUGAUGUAAAUAAUCUCUAAAAAUUAUUUGCAUAGAAUUCCAAACAGUUGUGAUAAAUAAGUGUGUUGCCCAGUGUGUGUUCUAUGUGUGGUGGAUAAUUGUUUACUCCAUCAUCCAUAGCUUAGUGAAAGGCCCAUUGUGGUGAAGAAAAUGAUGUGUCUUUGCUAUUUUUAUUUUUAUUUUUUUUUAAAGAUUUUACUUAUUUAUUUGACAGACAGAGAUCACAAGUAGGCAGAGAGGCAGACAGAGAGAAAGGAGGAAACACACUCCCCAUGAAGCAGAGAGCCUGACAUAGGACUAGAUCCCAGGACCCUGGGAUCAUGACUCGAGCCGAAGGCAGAGGUUUUAACCCACUGAGCCACGCAGGUCCCCCUUUGCUAUUUUUAGCUCAUCUCCUAUUUUCAUUUUGAUGGAGUGUUGAUAAGAUUAGUGUUCCACUGAUAACCUUUUGGUUUCACGGCAGAUGCACUGAUAACAGAAUGUUAGGGAUCUCAGUGGCAUAUUUGAGUCUUCAGAGUAGAAAACUUCCUCAACUGCUUUAAAUGUCAUAUACUUCCAAGCUACUCAUAAACCCUUAAAAUUAAACCACAAAUCUGUUCCCCCAAAUUAUUCUAUUGUGAGGUAUUCUAGCAGCCUGAGAAAACCUUAAGUGUCCUCUGAGUGAUAAGAAAUAUAAGGAUAAUUUUUGUCAUCCCACAUUCCAAGGAAGAUAAUUGUUGUUCCACUGCCAGCAAUACUUAAGGGUCUCAGGUACUAUUAUUACUUCCAAUAUCCCAGAGAUGUAAUAUAUUAAGUGGUUAAGUGAGUUGUUUCUUAGCUAUUGAUGCCAAAUUAUAUUUAGUAAGGGUUAUAGCAAAGACUAUAAUAAAAUUUAGGUCAUCUAAGAAUUUAAAAAUGAAAAAAAAACCCAUAAAAGUAAACACACAUUUACUACUUGACCUAGCAAUUUAACUCACACAUAUUUAUCCAAACUAAAUGGAAACACAUAUGCACACAAAAGACUCACAUCGAAGUUCAUAGCAGUAUUCUUCACAGUAGCUAAAACUUGGUAAUGACCCAAAUGCCAAUCAACAGGUUAAUGGGCAAACAAAGUGUAAUAAGUCCAAUACAUUGGAAUACUAAUCAGCAAUAGAAAAUAAUGAACUGCCAAUAAAUUCAAAAGCAUUUAAAACCAUAUUAUGUUGGGUAAAACAAGCCAGGCACAAUGUGGUGUUCAAAUACAUUUAUAUGACAUGGUGGAAAAGGAAAUUAAUAUACAGUGUCAGAAAAACCAUCAGUUUUACUUGGGACUAGGGGAAAAGAGCAUGAGGACAUUUUAAGAAGUUAUAAAAAUGCUUUCUAUCAUAAUCAAGGUGGUAAAAACCAUGGUAUAUGUAUUUAUCAAAACUCAUUAAAAAGGCAUGCUUAAAAUGGAUGUGGUAUUUUAACAUGUCAAUUAUACAUCAAAAAUUUGACUAAAAUUUCCCCAAAGUACUAAUAUGCUUUCAUGGCUUACUGUGAUAUGCUUCACUAUCUCAUAACUUUGUACAUAGUCUUUUACUUUCAUCCAGUGAUUCAGAAUGGUGUGAAAAGUUAUUCUAAUGUUGCAAUUUUUUGGCAUCUUAUUCCCAACAUAAGUUUUAAUUAUCAUAAAUAGGUGAUGAAAGUCACAAAAAUAGGAAUAAAGAUGUUCAGGCCAAUUCAUUAUUUCCACUUGCAUAAUAAUAAUACAGUAUUAAUUUUAAAACAGUCUUUUCUUAAUAAUAACAUAGUUGGAGUGAAACCCACUGUAUUCUUCUGUCACCAUAUAGUGUAAUCUUUUUGAUAUGUUUUAUAGGUUACUUAAUUUGACUGCUGUAAGUGUUUGAGGAAGGUUCCUGCCUAUAAAGUGGAAUUUCACCAAUUCGAAACAUUUUUAGAAUAAUCUCAAUUAGAAUUUUUUCAAUAUCUGCUUAGCAAUUGCAUUCUCAUAAGAAGGGGUAUAUUUUAUUUUAGUCAGCGAGUCAACAAGUAUUAAUUCGGCUCUCAUAGGAUGUCUUCUAUUGCACUAAGCAAAUUUAUUACUUCCUUACAAGUACCUAUGAAGCAUGGGGUUGUUUUCCCAGAGUUCCUGUAAAACAUCUUUCAUGGUAUUGAUCAAAUAAGGAUGAAAGAAAAGGGAAGAAAUUGUCAUUUCUUUGUAAAUUUUUUCCUUUUUAUGGUGUAGUAUAUGCUUUCAUAGAAAUGUCUCCCACUUGAUUAAGGAAGACAAAUUUUAUUGUGAAUAUUAUCAUCCAUAGAUCAGAAAUUGACACUAACUUUAAAUACAAAACUCUUUGAGAAAGGUUUCUGCUGUCUAUGUGUGUAUCCCCAUGAACAAAUAAAGGGGUGGAAAAUGAGGUAGUGAGGCAAAUGAAAAUCUCUUUGGGUUUAUUUAUUUCAUAUGAGCUGUCUAAGUUCAAGCUCCUUUCCAAUGCUAAAUCCUACAUUACAAUUUUCAAAUUAUGAACUGGCAACUUCCCUGAGCCUUGAUCCUUUGAUUCUUCCUUGUGACAAUAGUCAAUUCCUCAUUCGUCCAUCAAUCACCACCUACACGCCCAGACCAAAAAUUAAUUUCAGACUACCCCAGAGAAUGUCUUCAAUGUUAGCUACUUUAUAAAUUAAUGUAAUGAGACAUGUAACAGUGUUUUCUGGAAGCUCACGUGCUGGUUUGGGAAACAAAAGUGCAAUCAUUCAGUGAGUUGCCCACAAUACUCUAAGAUUUUACAAGCGAUUUUUUUCUUAAAUCAGAAAUCAUUGAUUGUUUUCUGAAAUCCUAAAUGCAGUUUUAUCCAAAUUAUAGCUUUUCAGUUUUUCUUCCAAGUAUCCAGUCAGAAAGUGAUAUAAGGGUAUACUUGAAAAUGCCCCCCCCAAAAGUGUUACUGGUAUGGUUGUGCUUCUCUAAAGUAUUCAAUCAUUAAACUGGAAAAUGAUACUAGUGAGAAGAUGCAAUAACUAGUCAGUGGGUAUUAUUUUUUUUUUAA